RNAcentral lists this ribosomal RNA (224 nucleotides) under uncultured bacterium. RNAcentral describes it as "partial 16S ribosomal RNA". It matches the Rfam family "Bacterial small subunit ribosomal RNA", at positions 524 to 746 of the family's 1533-position model. The record is from RNAcentral.
UACGUAGGGACCAAGCGUUGUUCGGAUUUACUGGGCGUAAAGGGCGCGUAGGCGGCGUGGUAAGUCACUUGUGAAAUCUCCGAGCUUAACUCGGAACGGUCAAGUGAUACUGCUGUGCUAGAGUACAGAAGGGGCAAUCGGAAUUCUUGGUGUAGCGGUGAAAUGCGUAGAUAUCAAGAGGAACACCGAUGGCGAAGGCAGCUCGCUGGGACGGGUACUGACGC